This 492-nucleotide ribosomal RNA is filed under the name uncultured bacterium. RNAcentral describes it as "partial 16S ribosomal RNA". It matches the Rfam family "Bacterial small subunit ribosomal RNA", at positions 29 to 507 of the family's 1533-position model. The record is from RNAcentral.
AGUGAACGCUGGCGGUAGGCCUAACACAUGCAAGUCGAACGGCAGCACAGUAAGAGCUUGCUCUUACGGGUGGCGAGUGGCGGACGGGUGAGGAAUACAUCGGAAUCUACUUUUUCGUGGGGGAUAACGUAGGGAAACUUACGCUAAUACCGCAUACGACCUACGGGUGAAAGCAGGGGAUCUUCGGACCUUGCGCGAUUGAAUGAGCCGAUGUCGGAUUAGCUGGUUGGCGGGGUAAAGGCCCACCAAGGCGACGAUCCGUAGCUGGUCUGAGAGGAUGAUCAGCCACACUGGAACUGAGACACGGUCCAGACUCCUACGGGAGGCAGCAGUGGGGAAUAUUGGACAAUGGGCGCAAGCCUGAUCCAGCCAUACCGCGUGGGUGAAGAAGGCCUUCGGGUUGUAAAGUCCUUUUGUUGGGAAAGAAAAGCAGCAGGUUAAUACCCCGCUGUUCUGACGGUACCCAAAGAAUAAGCACCGGCUAACUUCGUG